RNAcentral lists this non-coding RNA (30 nucleotides) under Mus musculus (house mouse). The record is from RNAcentral. Lineage: Eukaryota; Metazoa; Chordata; Mammalia; Rodentia; Muridae.
UCCCAAGGUGUUAUCGAUAGGACAGAUGAU